GUUCAAGUCUGCAGACAUCCUGCACACACGUGUUCACAUUGUCUGUCUGUUGCCUGCAUCGCAGUCAUAGUUGUUUUUGUUACCAAUAAUAACUUUGGAAAUGUGUGCAUUUCUAUCUAAGUCAGUGCCUUAUUAUGUUAUAAUAGUUUCUGCAUGUCGUUUUAUGUCGUUUCUACUGUAGCAUAAUAUUUUUGUGUAUAUUCCUUAUAAUCGCGGACACAUGAGUGGCGCAGCUGUCAAAGGCACAGCGUCUCAGUGCUAGAGGCGUCACUACAGACAUCCAGGUUCAAAUCCAGACUGCAUUUCUAUCCAGCUACCCUGGCCUUAUGACUCCCAAGUGGCUCCCAAGUGGCGCAAGGCACAGCAUCUCCGUGCUAGAUGCGUCACUACAGACACCCUGUUUCAAAUCCAGGCUGUG
RNAcentral lists this long non-coding RNA (418 nucleotides) under Salmo salar (Atlantic salmon). Its description in RNAcentral is "lncRNA (ENSSSAG00000110859.1, ENSSSAG00020071151.1, ENSSSAG00075035015.1)". Lineage: Eukaryota; Metazoa; Chordata; Actinopteri; Salmoniformes; Salmonidae. The record is from RNAcentral.